AGAAUCAACGCUGGCGGCGUGCCUAACACAUGCAAGUCGAACGAGAAAGCGGAGCAAUCCGCAAGUAAAGUGGCGCACGGGUGAGUAACACGUGACUAACCUACCCUGGAGUGGGGGAUAACUGAAGAGAAAUCUUAGCUAAUACCGCAUAACACCUACGGGUCAAAGGAGCAAUUCGCUUCAGGAGGGGGUCGCGGCAGAUUAGAUAGUUGGCGGGGUAAUGGCCCACCAAGUCAGUGAUCUGUA
This 246-nucleotide ribosomal RNA is filed under the name uncultured bacterium. RNAcentral's name for it is "partial small subunit ribosomal RNA". It matches the Rfam family "Bacterial small subunit ribosomal RNA", at positions 26 to 285 of the family's 1533-position model. The record is from RNAcentral.